GGGGCGCUGAAUGAGCGCGGCGGCUCCGCGCAGGUACCGAAUAAAGGCUGGAAAUCACCGGCCGUGCUGGGGCUGCCCCGGCGCUGUCCACCAGUCACCUGCACUGGGGUCCCAGCCCCUGAGCAGCCCCAGCCGGGGAACAGCCUGGGAAUGGUCAUCUCGGCGCCUCCCGAACCGCCUCGUGCCCCCGGGACCACCUUGGAGGGACCCUGCCCGUCUCAGGAACAACGGUGGGGGCUCCACGGCCUGAAACAGCGAUGGGGACUUGUUUGGAUCCUCCAGGCACCGGCCACAUGAGCCUCACAACACAGUGGCUGGGCUGCAGAACCCAACAAGGUUUGUUGUGGUGCCUCCAGCUCGUUGACUGAUGCCCAUCAGCGCUCCAGGCACACCGGGGGCACGGGGAACACCCCCGGGUUGGCUCGGUCUGAUCCCAGCAAAAGAGAGGGAAGAUCACCAGCACUGAGCAGUCACCAGCAGGUGAUGAUCCGGGCAUUCCUUGCCACGUCCCUUAGCUCAGGAUGAGGUAGCUCCCACCUGCUGCUGCCAGGAAGAACCCGCUUCCCAAGGACAGCCCCAGCGGGCUCCCCAAGGAUGACUGCGUUCCCAUUCCAAUGCCAGCUGCCCUGCUCUUUUCAGGGAACAUAAUGCUGCUGCCCAUAUGUCACCUGCUCAUUGUCCUGGAUGAGGCAGAGCAGAGGACUGACUCCCCACUGUGGAAUAUUGCAUGACAUCACUCGAAAACUGGAGUAAUAUGGUGCUGAAUGAAACUACUCAGACGUUGCUGCAGCUUUCAGCACAGCUUUUCUAUCAGCAUAGAGAAGCCAAGUCACAGAUGGCUUUUACACUGCUGUAAUUAAUAAUCAUGGUACCGUGUUAGUGUCAUCUUAGCAUAAAAAUGAAUCUAUAAAUUGCAUUCAGCAUUUUUAGAGCAUCUACACUGACUGGUUUUUGCAACAGAAGAGUACUGCUCUGACAGUAAGUCUUUUUGAACUGCAUUUGUAAAGAAUAAUUUCAAUUUACUGUUUGUUUUCUUUAACAUUAUUUAUGAAGAGGCAUAGUUAAUUUUUUCUGUUCAUCAGUUUUAGAUCGAGCCUUUACAGAGUUAGAUUACUUUUCUUAUUUUACAGCAUGAUGUGUUACAUCACUCCUGAGCUGGCCUAAACUUGGAACAGCCUGAUGCUCACAGCACUCCCAAGACCCAAGACUAUUUUCUUUGUGGGCAGCCCAAAACCCAUUAAUUAUUUAAUGAUUGGACCUGAGGAUCUUAAGGGUCUUUUCCAACCUAAAUGAUUCUGUGAUUCCAUAUUCCCAAACUCAUUUGGCUAUUGAGGAGCCCAGACAGACACAUUGUAUUAUGUAAAUCACAAUUAUUUUUUUCCCCCCACAGAUGGGCUAUUUCCUACUUGGUAUAAAAGGAAUGUGUUUUUCUACACAAAAGCUGUAAUUUACCUGAUGUCAUUUGCCAUCCUAAACCAGAGCAGUAAAAUGCAGCCAACAAGAAACAAAGAAAAACAUGUAAUGAGUCCUUCACUGGCCCCUAAGAGAUGCCUGGAGAGUUUAAGGCUACAACCACCUUAUUGUGAGGACUGGCCUGGUCUCUCUCAGGCUACAGCCUCCUUUUUUGGGGGGGAGCUUACCGGGUCAUAGCAGAAAAUUCUGUUUAGUGAGUAUUGAUUUCCCCCCCCCUCCCUUUCCAUGGGUGUCUGAUGGAUUGAUUGGUUUUGGAAUUUAUGGGAGCUUCCUGCAUCAGCAGCAGCCUGUGGUGCUGUGUUCAGUGGGUUAAGUACCUCUCAUUUUUCAAACUGUCACGUGAUAAUUUCAUCUGGUGACCCCAAGUUCUGGAACUGUGGGAAUCAGGGAACCAUUGUUCCUAGAGAUGUUCCCCGUCAAGAGCUGUGGGCCAUUUAGUUUUCCUGUUCCUUAUCCCAGUCAACCUUGUUCUCAGUCUUUUUAUCCAUAUUAGUUUUAUAUGCCAAACACACCAGCUAAACCUGCAGUGCCACUGUGGACAUACAUGUAAUAUACUGAGUUUGUUCAGGGUUUUUUUAAAGUAUUUUAAAAUUUCUUUCUCUGUUAUUCAGCUCCAAAAACACAUAUUACAAAAACACGAUGUACUUUUGACAAUAAGGAGCUCUUUUGACAAUAAGGUCCUUUCAAAACUGUUCUGUCUGGAGGGCACCUUUGCAGAUUUAGUUAUGCGCUCGAGUUCAUUGAUAGAGUAAUCCUAAGUGACUGGGAAAACUUGGCAUCUGCCUGGAUCCACCAAUAUUUUUCAGAUAUGACAUCGAUCAGUUUUACAGCCUGUUAUGGCGGAAGCUUAAGCUGAGCUUUUCACAGACUCAGAAAUGCUCCUGGUGAAUAUCCCCAAUCACUUUUCAAGAGCAUCCUAUCAAGUUGGGUUGAUAAAGAUGAGAUUAACCUAUUAUGGAUGUCAUUUUUCUCAAACACCGAUAUUCUCAUUUGUCAGUUGUCCCUGGCAAGAGGCAGGUUUGACCUUUAAGGCAGAAAUAUGUAAGAUGAUGUCAAAAUGAAUCAGAAACUCAAAUAAAAUAGAGGUGAUACAGCAUUUCCAAGACUGCAAGAGUGAGAGUUCACUCCCUAUGCCCCCCCCCCCCCCCAAAAAACCCCAUUCUAGAAACAGCAGUGCCAAACACCAACAAAUACCUGCUUUACUUAAAUAUAUUUUGGUGAAUUUUAAUGUGCUUGCAAGGAAAGGGUGAACAAUAAGACAAUGACUGGUGCAGACAAAGCUCUUGCCACUGGCAGAGUGGCCUGACCUUCUGCAGUUUAGUCACUUUAACCUUGGAAGAUUUCGGCUUUGGGACUGCAGAUUGCUGUGUGCCUUGUUUAGUGAGUUUGUAAAGUAAGUUAAAUGAGCUGACAUGGAAAAACUCUGCUUGCUAUGGGUAUUACUGAGUUAAAUACACCCUCAGGUUUCUGUGGAUAUAAUCUGUUUCUCCUUGAAUUGAAAGAUUGAACUCUUUUUUUAUACAACACUCACUAUUACCUCAUUAUGUGGUACUUGGUAAGUGCAUGGUUUUGAAAACUGUCUUACAGAAUAUUUCUAGAAAAGAAUCUAUGAGAAAUUGAAAUACUAGUGUUGAGCUUUUAUUUCAUGACAUCACCCAUCAUGAUUGAACGGAUCAUGGCUUUGUCUUUCUGAGUAAUUGCACCCAUCUUCCAAAUUUGCUGAAUGAUCAUUUAGUGUUUCCUACUUCGGAUGAUCAAGCCUUAUAUCG
Molecule: long non-coding RNA, 3242 nt
Organism: Chiroxiphia lanceolata (lance-tailed manakin)
Lineage: Eukaryota; Metazoa; Chordata; Aves; Passeriformes; Pipridae
Exons: 3
Source: RefSeq, a predicted model, not a curated record